AACGAACGCUGGCGGCAUGCCUAACACAUGCAAGUCGAACGAGACCUUCGGGUCUAGUGGCGCACGGGUGCGUAACGCGUGGGAACCUUCCCUUAGGUUCGGAAUAACUCCCCGAAAGGGGUGCUAAUACCGGAUAAUGUCUUCGGACCAAAGAUUUAUCGCCUUUGGAUGGGCCCGCGUUGGAUUAGCUAGUUGGUAGGGUAAAAGCCUACCAAGGCGACGAUCCAUAGCUGGUCUGAGAGGAUGAUCAGCCACACUGGGACUGAGACACGGCCCAGACUGCUACGGGAGGCAGCAGUGGGGAAUAUUGGGCAAUGGGCGAAAGCCUGAUCCAGCAAUGCCGCGUGAGUGAUGAAGGCCUUAGGGUUGUAAAGCUCUUUUACCCGGGAUGAUAAUGACAGUACCGGGAGAAUAAGCUCCGGCUAACUCCGUG
This 433-nucleotide ribosomal RNA is filed under the name uncultured bacterium. Its description in RNAcentral is "partial 16S ribosomal RNA". It matches the Rfam family "Bacterial small subunit ribosomal RNA", at positions 29 to 507 of the family's 1533-position model. The record is from RNAcentral.